This 2070-nucleotide ribosomal RNA is filed under the name Klebsiella pneumoniae. RNAcentral's name for it is "partial 23S ribosomal RNA". It matches the Rfam family "Bacterial large subunit ribosomal RNA", at positions 890 to 2925 of the family's 2925-position model. Lineage: Bacteria; Pseudomonadati; Pseudomonadota; Gammaproteobacteria; Enterobacterales; Enterobacteriaceae. The record is from RNAcentral.
UCAUCUUCGGGGGUAGAGCACUGUUUCGGCUAGGGGGUCAUCCCGACUUACCAACCCGAUGCAAACUACGAAUACCGAAGAAUGUUAUCACGGGAGACACACGGCGGGUGCUAACGUCCGUCGUGAAGAGGGAAACAACCCAGACCGCCAGCUAAGGUCCCAAAGUCAUGGUUAAGUGGGAAACGAUGUGGGAAGGCACAGACAGCCAGGAUGUUGGCUUAGAAGCAGCCAUCAUUUAAAGAAAGCGUAAUAGCUCACUGGUCGAGUCGGCCUGCGCGGAAGAUGUAACGGGGCUAAACCAUGCACCGAAGCUGCGGCAGCGACACUAUGUGUUGUUGGGUAGGGGAGCGUUCUGUAAGCCUGCGAAGGUGUGCUGUGAGGCAUGCUGGAGGUAUCAGAAGUGCGAAUGCUGACAUAAGUAACGAUAAAGCGGGUGAAAAGCCCGCUCGCCGGAAGACCAAGGGUUCCUGUCCAACGUUAAUCGGGGCAGGGUGAGUCGACCCCUAAGGCGAGGCCGAAAGGCGUAGUCGAUGGGAAACAGGUUAAUAUUCCUGUACUUGGUGUUACUGCGAAGGGGGGACGGAGAAGGCUAUGUUAGCCGGGCGACGGUUGUCCCGGUUUAAGCAUGUAGGCUGGUUAUCCAGGCAAAUCCGGAUAAUCAAGGCUGAGGUGUGAUGACGAGGCACUACGGUGCUGAAGUAACAAAUGCCCUGCUUCCAGGAAAAGCCUCUAAGCAUCAGGUAACAUCAAAUCGUACCCCAAACCGACACAGGUGGUCAGGUAGAGAAUACCAAGGCGCUUGAGAGAACUCGGGUGAAGGAACUAGGCAAAAUGGUGCCGUAACUUCGGGAGAAGGCACGCUGGUGUGUAGGUGAAGUCCCUGCGGAUGGAGCUGAGACCAGUCGAAGAUACCAGCUGGCUGCAACUGUUUAUUAAAAACACAGCACUGUGCAAACACGAAAGUGGACGUAUACGGUGUGACGCCUGCCCGGUGCCGGAAGGUUAAUUGAUGGGGUUAUCCGUAAGGAGAAGCUCUUGAUCGAAGCCCCGGUAAACGGCGGCCGUAACUAUAACGGUCCUAAGGUAGCGAAAUUCCUUGUCGGGUAAGUUCCGACCUGCACGAAUGGCGUAAUGAUGGCCAGGCUGUCUCCACCCGAGACUCAGUGAAAUUGAACUCGCUGUGAAGAUGCAGUGUACCCGCGGCAAGACGGAAAGACCCCGUGAACCUUUACUAUAGCUUGACACUGAACAUUGAGCCUUGAUGUGUAGGAUAGGUGGGAGGCUUUGAAGCGUGGACGCCAGUCUGCGUGGAGCCAACCUUGAAAUACCACCCUUUAAUGUUUGAUGUUCUAACGUUGGCCCCUGACCGGGGUUGCGGACAGUGUCUGGUGGGUAGUUUGACUGGGGCGGUCUCCUCCCAAAGCGUAACGGAGGAGCACGAAGGUUAGCUAAUCCUGGUCGGACAUCAGGAGGUUAGUGCAAUGGCAUAAGCUAGCUUGACUGCGAGCGUGACGGCGCGAGCAGGUGCGAAAGCAGGUCAUAGUGAUCCGGUGGUUCUGAAUGGAAGGGCCAUCGCUCAACGGAUAAAAGGUACUCCGGGGAUAACAGGCUGAUACCGCCCAAGAGUUCAUAUCGACGGCGGUGUUUGGCACCUCGAUGUCGGCUCAUCACAUCCUGGGGCUGAAGUAGGUCCCAAGGGUAUGGCUGUUCGCCAUUUAAAGUGGUACGCGAGCUGGGUUUAGAACGUCGUGAGACAGUUCGGUCCCUAUCUGCCGUGGGCGCUGGAGAAUUGAGGGGGGCUGCUCCUAGUACGAGAGGACCGGAGUGGACGCAUCACUGGUGUUCGGGUUGUCAUGCCAAUGGCACUGCCCGGUAGCUAAAUGCGGAAGAGAUAAGUGCUGAAAGCAUCUAAGCACGAAACUUGCCCCGAGAUGAGUUCUCCCUGAGACUUUAAGUCUCCUGAAGGAACGUUAAAGACGAUGACGUUGAUAGGCCGGGUGUGUAAGCGCAGCGAUGCGUUGAGCUAACCGGUACUAAUGAACCGUGAGGCUUAACCUUACAACGCCGAAG